Molecule: ribosomal RNA, 497 nt
Filed under: uncultured bacterium
Lineage: Bacteria
Description: partial 16S ribosomal RNA
Rfam family: Bacterial small subunit ribosomal RNA
Source: RNAcentral
GACGAACGCUGGCGGCGUGCCUAAUACAUGCAAGUUGAGCGCUGAAGGUUGGUCCUUGUACCAACUGGAUGAGCAGCGAACGGGUGAGUAACGCGUGGGGAAUCUGCCUUUGAGCGGGGGACAACAUUUGGAAACGAAUGCUAAUACCGCAUAAAAACUUUAAACACAAGUUUUAAGUUUGAAAGAUGCAAUUGCAUCACUCAAAGAUGAUCCCGCGUUGUAUUAGCUAGUUGGUGAGGUAAAGGCUCACCAAGGCGAUGAUACAUAGCCGACCUGAGAGGGUGAGCGGCCGCAUUGGGAGUGAGACACGGCCCAAACUCCCACGGGAGGCGGCAGUAGGGAAUCUUCGGCAAUGGACGAAAGUCUGACCGAGCAACGCCGCGUGAGUGAAGAAGGUUGUCGGAUCGUAAAACUCUGUUGGUAGAGAAGAACGUUGGUGAGAGUGGAAAGCUCAUCAAGUGACGGUAACUACCCAGAAAGGGACGGCUAACUACGUG